RNAcentral lists this transfer RNA (59 nucleotides) under Hygrobates longiporus. Its description in RNAcentral is "tRNA-Val". Lineage: Eukaryota; Metazoa; Arthropoda; Arachnida; Trombidiformes; Hygrobatidae. The record is from RNAcentral.
AAAAAGAUAAAAUCCAGUCUGGCUUACGCCGACUUGAACUCAGUUCAUGUGUUUUUUUA